Molecule: ribosomal RNA, 327 nt
Filed under: uncultured eukaryote
Lineage: Eukaryota
Description: partial 18S ribosomal RNA
Rfam family: Eukaryotic small subunit ribosomal RNA
Source: RNAcentral
CCCUUAGAUGUUCUGGGCCGCACGCGCGCUACACUGAUGAAUGCAACGAGCUCUACCCUUGACCGAAAGGCCCGGGUAAACUUGUGAAACUUCAUCGUGAUGGGGAUAGAUUAUUGCAAUUAUUAAUCUUCAACGAGGAAUUCCUAGUAAGCGCGAGUCAUCAGCUCGCGUUGAUUACGUCCCUGCCCUUUGUACACACCGCCCGUCGCUCCUACCGAUUGAAUGGUCCGGUGAAAUCUUCGGAUUGCUGACCAAGAUCCAGCAACGGAGCUUGGUUGCGAGAAGUUGAUUAAACCUUAUUAUUUAGAGGAAGGAGAAGUCGUAACA